This 468-nucleotide ribosomal RNA is filed under the name uncultured bacterium. Its description in RNAcentral is "partial 16S ribosomal RNA". It matches the Rfam family "Bacterial small subunit ribosomal RNA", at positions 28 to 507 of the family's 1533-position model. The record is from RNAcentral.
GACGAACGCUGGCGGCGUGCUUAACACAUGCAAGUCGAACGGAAAGGCCCUGCUUUUGUGGGGUGCUCGAGUGGCGAACGGGUGAGUAACACGUGAGUAACCUGCCCUUGACUUUGGGAUAACUUCAGGAAACUGGGGCUAAUACCGGAUAGGAGCUCCUGCUGCAUGGUGGGGGUUGGAAAGUUUCGGCGGUUGGGGAUGGACUCGCGGCUUAUCAGCUUGUUGGUGGGGUAGUGGAUUACCAAGGCUUUGACGGGUAGCCGGCCUGAGAGGGUGACCGGCCACAUGGGGCCUAAGGUACGGCCCAGACUCCUACGGGAGGCAGCAGUGGGGAAUAUUGCAGAAUGGGCGGAAGCCUGAUGCAGCAACGCCGCGUGCGGGAUGACGGCCUUCGGGUUGUAAACCGCUUUCGCCUGUGACGAAGCGUGAGUGACGGUAAUGGGUAAAGAAGCACCGGCUAACUACGUG